GUAUUCUGCCUGAUCAACAGAAUAUUACAAAAGAUAUUUACGCGUAUGAGAUAAUUUGGUAAGACCUGGGUUCGACUCCCAGCACGUCCACACAAUUAUUGUAAUGGUUAUAGACUAUUCCUCUAACGGUUAGGAGCUACGUGUUAUACGUAGGAAUCCAGAUUCGACUCCUGGAUAGUCGCCAUACCUUUUAGGGCGUGUAUUGGCAUUUGAUUACCAAAGGAAGUAAAUACAUUAAGCGUUUAUAUAUUAAAUUUAACUGACAACUAUAAUGUUGUAGAUUAUACUCACGUAGCGUGAGUUUAAUCUGAGUGUUUCCUACUAAAGUGGAGGAGAGUGUUAUGGUAUAAAACGCGGUUCGAUUCCGCGACACUCACAACUAACAUGAUUA
This 391-nucleotide non-coding RNA is filed under the name uncultured phage cr130_1. Lineage: Duplodnaviria; Heunggongvirae; Uroviricota; Caudoviricetes; Crassvirales; Darmviridae. The record is from RNAcentral.